AUUGCUUCCUCCGUCUUCUUCUGCGGCUGCCGCGGCAGCCAGCGCCGCUAUGUUAAUGAUUGGUACUCUUCCGACAACAGAUCAAAAUAAUCCUAUUCGUAGAAACCGUAGAAACGCCGGUGACCGUUCCCCGAUUAACCCUGUCAUCGUACUUCGAGGAGGAGGAGGAGCAGGACAAUCCGAUGGUGGUGAGAACGAGGGUAGUAGACGCGGAUUCGAGUUGUAUUAUGACGAUGGAAGUGGGUCUGGGUUGAGAACCGUUGCCGCCGAGCAUGUCGGAUUUUUUACUGGGAUCUGGGUUUGAAAGGUUAUUGGAUCAGAUAUCGCAGAUUGAAAUCAAUGGGCUAGGCAGAUACGAGCAUCCGCCGGCGACGAAAUCGGCGAUUGAGUCGAUGCCAACUGUAAUUAUAAGCGAGUGGCACACGUCCAUGGAGUUGCACUGUGCGGUGUGUAAAGAGCCCUUCGAAUUGGAAUCGGAGGCGCGAGAAAUGCCUUGUAAGCACAUAUAUCAUUCGGAUUGUAUACUUCCAUGGCUCUCACUUCGAAAUUCAUGCCCAGUUUGCCGGCACGAGUUGCCUGGGGAUGAUGAAUCGAGUAACGGGCAGGUCUUGGGGGAGAAUAAUAAUGAUAAUGAGGAAGCGGCUGUGGGAUUGACGAUCCGGGAGGUGGGUAUGCAGUUGGGAGGUUUACGGGAGCAAGGAGUGGGACGAGAGAGCUGCCAAUGGUUUAUACUGAGAUGGACGGUGGGUUUAAUAAUGGGGGUUUGCCUAGGAGCAUAUCAUGGGGGCCAAGGGGAGGGGGCAGAAGUAGAGAGAACGGAGGUGGCGGCGGAGGGGGUGGUGGUAGUUGGCUUGGUUUGGGUCGGGCUUUAAGGCAUUGGUUUACUUGUUUUGGUGGUGAGGUUUCUGGAGAGAACUCAAAUUCAGAUUCGAGAAUUAGGAGGGCAACAAGUAGGUCUUUUUGGCAUUUUAAUGACACUGCUUCUUCAAGGAGGGGAAGGUUCUGGGAUGUGGAGGUUAAUGGUGGAAGAAGGAGAAGGUGAA
Molecule: unclassified non-coding RNA, 1043 nt
Filed under: Hevea brasiliensis (rubber tree)
Lineage: Eukaryota; Viridiplantae; Streptophyta; Magnoliopsida; Malpighiales; Euphorbiaceae
Source: RNAcentral